RNAcentral lists this ribosomal RNA (253 nucleotides) under uncultured bacterium. RNAcentral's name for it is "partial 16S ribosomal RNA". It matches the Rfam family "Bacterial small subunit ribosomal RNA", at positions 524 to 776 of the family's 1533-position model. The record is from RNAcentral.
UACGAAGGGUGCAAGCGUUACUCGGAAUUACUGGGCGUAAAGCGUGCGUAGGUGGUUUGUUAAGUCUGAUGUGAAAGCCCUGGGCUCAACCUGGGAACGGCAUUGGAAACUGGCUUACUAGAGUGCGGUAGAGGGGUGUGGAAUUCCCGGUGUAGCAGUGAAAUGCGUAGAUAUCUGGAGGAACACCGGUGGCGAAGGCGGCAUCCUGGACCAAUAUUGACGCUGAGGAGCGAAAGCUAGGGGAGCAAACGGG